Molecule: long non-coding RNA, 1243 nt
Filed under: Linum usitatissimum (flax)
Lineage: Eukaryota; Viridiplantae; Streptophyta; Magnoliopsida; Malpighiales; Linaceae
Description: long non-coding RNA (LUSI_LNC007828)
Source: RNAcentral
UUGCUCUCUGUCUCUGUCUCUGCUCCUCCUUAAUUAUAAAUCCUAUCUUUCUCUAUUCACUUCGAUCUCUCUCUCGUCUCUCUGUAUCAUAAUAAUUAGCUAGCUAGCUCCCACCGCAAUGGCUGUAAAUCCACAACAAGAUCAAGCUGCUCCAUCAUCCAUCCCCAGUUUCCAGCCAAACGAUCACCUUCCCUCCAAAGACUACUACGUCGACGGUCUAGAUGACGAAAUGGGUGCGCCCUUCUCCCCGUCCUUCUGUCUCUGCUUCCCAGCCCACUGCUUCAGCCGCCGACGAACCACCAAAGCCGGCUCCCGUACUUAUUUUUUGCAAACCGAUCAAGAAGAUUGUUCCGAAGAAGAUCAAGAUGGGCUGCGUUGGUAUUCCGGCGGGCGGCGGUGGGUGGUGGAGAAGCUGAAGAAGGCGAGAGAAAUAUCCGAGUUGGUUGCGGGCCCCAAGUGGAAAAAUUUCAUUCGAAGAUUUAGCAGACCAGCCUUUGGGUCUUCGAAUUCUAAGAAGAGGACCAAGUUUCAAUACGACCCUCAGAGCUACGCGCUUAACUUCGAUGACGGCGAUGCCACCGACGACUGCGGAUACCCGGAUUUCUCGGCCAGAUUCUCCGCUCCUGGGCAGUCUUGAAACCUGUGUAUCUGUUUACCAUUAUUCUUUUCUAUUGAGCUGUAAUUAUAUUGUCUAUAAUUAGAAUUGAAGUUUGAUGAACAUGCAUGAAUCUCCAAUACUCAUUCUUUGAAUUGGGUUGUUGUCAAAGUGACUGAUUUGUUAUUCGUGGCUCUAAAAUUCGGAAAUAUCACCUUAAAAGUACACAAUAAUUACCUUUGGCAAUUUCUCUUUAAGAAUGGAAACCUUACCCAAUUAUAAUUAUUAUCCAAGUAGCUAAUUAAUCUCACCUAAAAUUAAAAUCAUGAGCUGUGUUGAUUAGGAUUUAGGAAACGCGUAUCAAUAUAAUUUUAGUGAUGAAAAAAAUAGCUGGAAAAGCAAAGAGAUGGAAUAUAUAAAUUGUCAAUAUCUUUUGGGUUAUCUAAUUAAUAGAAUAUAUGUACAGUUAGUUCAUCGGCCAGGACAGCCAAUAAGGAAACAAAAUAUGAGCAGUNCUAGCUCCCACAACAAUGGCUGUAAAUCCACAGCAAGAUCAAGCUGCUGCAUCCUUCGUCCCCAGUUCCCGACCACACGAUCACCUUCCCUCCAAAGACUACGACGUCGUCGACGGUCUAGAUGACGAACUCG